GAGGUCCCCCAGAUCCCGUCAAUGGCGAUGAUCGGACGGCUGCCGGAGCUCCUGCGGGCCCUCCGCCCGCCACGCAACGCGCGGGGCGUCGGCGCCCUCGUCAGCGAGCACACCGCGAAAUGGAUGCAGGACACCAGUAAGAAAUCCCCGAUGGAGUUGAUCAACGAAGUUCCGCCAAUUAAAGUUGAAGGUCGGAUUGUCGCCUGCGAAGGAGAUACUAAUCCCGCCCUCGGCCAUCCUAUCGAGUUCAUCUGCCUCGACCUGAAAGAUCCGGCCAUCUGCAAGUACUGCGGCCUUCGCUAUGUUCAGCAUGAUCAUCAUCACUAGGAGAUGAUAUGAUAUGAGUUCAAAACGAAACCCUAAAUGCUUGUGGAUUGUUUUGUGUUCCUUUACUGAUUGC
This 400-nucleotide unclassified non-coding RNA is filed under the name Hevea brasiliensis (rubber tree). The record is from RNAcentral. Lineage: Eukaryota; Viridiplantae; Streptophyta; Magnoliopsida; Malpighiales; Euphorbiaceae.